GCUAACGUAGCUUAAUACAAAGCAUAGCAUUGAAGAUGCUAAAAUGAGUCUUAAACAACUCCGUAUGCA
Molecule: transfer RNA, 69 nt
Filed under: Garra poecilura
Lineage: Eukaryota; Metazoa; Chordata; Actinopteri; Cypriniformes; Cyprinidae
Description: tRNA-Phe
Rfam family: tRNA
About the family: Transfer RNA (tRNA) molecules are approximately 80 nucleotides in length. Their secondary structure includes four short double-helical elements and three loops (D, anti-codon, and T loops). Further hydrogen bonds mediate the characteristic L-shaped molecular structure. tRNAs have two regions of fundamental functional importance: the anti-codon, which is responsible for specific mRNA codon recognition, and the 3' end, to which the tRNAs corresponding amino acid is attached (by aminoacyl-tRNA synthetases). tRNAs cope with the degeneracy of the genetic code in two manners: having more than one tRNA (with a specific anti-codon) for a particular amino acid; and 'wobble' base-pairing, i.e. permitting non-standard base-pairing at the 3rd anti-codon position.
Source: RNAcentral